CUUUUGUUUUCAUUUUUGUUUGCAAGUGUAGUACAUAGUAUAACUGUAUGGUAUUGCAAAAAAACAAUUUUUCAUUCAAAGUUUAAAAGGAAAUGGACCCCAAAAAAUCCUAACUUUUGUUUUCAUUUUUGUUUGCAAGUGUAGUACAUAGUAUAACUGUAUGGUAUUGCAAAAAAACAAUUUUUCAUUCAAAGUUUAAAAGGAAAUGGACCCCAAAAAAUCCUAACUUUUGUGCACUUCUUCAAUUUUUCCAAUCCUCUUAAUUUUAUCAACCGUAGACAUAAAUUUUAACAUUAGUGACUAUUAAAAAUCUUCAGGUUUAUUUCAUCACAACGUGAAAUACCCUGACAUAUUAACUACUAAACCAUCAGUCAACAACUCAACGUAUCACAUAUGAUAUCUCUAUGGAAAGUUGCUUAACCAAUUUAAAAUCCUUAAAAACCAUUUCUAUCAUUCACAAAGAAAGCCCCUCUCAAACAACAUUUUCAACAUUCAAUUUGACAGAAUAAACAUUCAUAGGUGCAAAUUGAAUAUUUAGAUUUUCCACCAUUAUUUUUCAAACAAUACCAUAGAAUUGAUGACCAUAAAAGCACAAUAAUAUUAUAAUGGUAAAGCUAGCAUAGAAGGAAUACCUUGCUAAGCAUUACAACGAGAAA
This 656-nucleotide unclassified non-coding RNA is filed under the name Hevea brasiliensis (rubber tree). Lineage: Eukaryota; Viridiplantae; Streptophyta; Magnoliopsida; Malpighiales; Euphorbiaceae. The record is from RNAcentral.